This is a non-coding RNA of Triticum urartu, 2432 nucleotides long. Lineage: Eukaryota; Viridiplantae; Streptophyta; Magnoliopsida; Poales; Poaceae. The record is from RefSeq and is a predicted model, not a curated record.
CACCUCCCCUCCGCUGGUUUUAGCAUCGCGACAGAACCAAUCCCUCGCUAGCCCUACCUCCUCUCCUGUCUCCAGUCGCAGCAGCCGCCGCCGCCGCACCCCAAUCCAACCCCGCCGCCGGCGAUCUCCUCGCCCCCCUGUGCCGUCGCCCCCAACCUUCUAUUCCUCUCCCAAGGGAAGGGAAGGGAAGGCAAGGCAAGGGAAGGGAGAGGGAGCGCCCAGAUCCACGGCGGCAUCAGCGCGCCGUCCUCGACCUGAUCCGCGUCUGUCCACGGAUGGGAGCUAAUCGGCGCAGGAAAUCCCCGUCCCCGCGUCCGAGCCCCGCCACCCUCCGCAACGGCUCGACCGCCCAUCGACGCGCUGCCCCCGCGGCGCCCGACCAGUUCGGCUCUCGCGGCUGGUGGACGCGCCCUUGCUGUUGCCGACGCCGGCUCGCUGCGCCGCACUGGCCCUCACAAGCGUCUUCUGUCAAUGAUGGACUUGAGAGGUCAAGGAGUUUCCAUUGGGACAUCGGGACAUGCUCCUCCAUCUCCUCCGGUGGACGACAUCCAACAUCGCCAGUUCAUGCACUUAUGGACUGAAGAAAAAAAAUGGAAAUGAAGAAGAAAAGAAUAGCAAUAUUAUCAUAUGCGAGGUUUGCUUUUAACCUUGGUUCCUAACCAAUAUUUGCUUCAUAAUUCUGCCGAGAGAUUCACACUGUCAUUCAUAUUAUGAAUAUAGUUCAUAACCAGUAUUCUCUUUUAUCUAAUUAUAUGUACAGAAAGGAGUAAUCUGAAGUGAAUUCAUGCUAUGUUAACAGUCUAACAAACAUCUUGGAGGUGUGAAUGCUUUCUUGGGUCUGACAAGUAAUCAAUAAUUGAUGGUAUACUGGGAUUUUUCUCAUACUUCUAGCACUUCCUCAUUGACAAUAAAGCAAGUAGUAUCACAACAAAGGCUAUCCAGUUGUUUACCCCAAGAAAUGGUCUGCUUUCAUGGGGUUUAUUGAAUCCAGGAAAGAACUGUGAGUAGUAGCGAACCAGACAUGAAAAGUUUCAGAGAACUACGAAAACUCCGGUCAGUUUUGUCGGGAUCUUGUGACACAGUUCCAGGACUCUAUUGACUAAGGAAAUGAUAUAUAUGUGUGAUUUAUCCUGUUAAAACUUUUAGUGUUCACUUAGGGGUGAGUGCAACCAGUAACUGAAUUUAGACUACGAACUAGAGUAUGACAGUAAAGUCAGGAGCAUGAUGGAGAACACACGGGACAUUGAGGACUAAUGGUCAACACUUAAAUCUUGCUUUACAUACAGUUCAGUUCCAAGUAGUCUGAUACAUAGAUGGCGAGGGGAGUGCUGAUUUGGGGUUGAUUUUGGUAAUUAUAUAUUUUCCUUGAUGACUGUCAUUUUGUUGUCCUACAUGUGCUAUAUGAUAUGCAUAACAACUUGAGAGCACCUUUGCUUCUCUUGAUGUGCUUCGUCAUACAGUUUUUUAAAGUGCACAAGCAAGCUUGCGAGUGAUGACAACUACUAUGACCUACAACCUUGAAUCUAGGUUUUUGGGGUUGAACAUAGGGGCACAGCGCGCUCUCCCAUCUAACCAGUGAAGCGUAAUGAAGGAAAAGCUACAGUAUACAAAUCGUCACCGUCAUUCAGUUUGUCCAAAACUGAGAAAAGCUCUUUAAAAAAACUGGGAAAAGCUCACGUGAUGGAAUGAGAUGAGAUUUCAACAUCAUGAUUGCGUUUUAUAAUUUGAACAACCAAAGUAGAUGGUCCCGUCAGCCCGUGUUUGACAAUAUGAAGGGACAAACUUGUUGAUCCAUUAUUUUGCCAGGAAAAUACAAUAAUUCGGAGGGCUUAAAUAUGGAUAAUAGAUCUGACAUAAUCUAGCAAGGUGAGUGACUCAAUUGCACAUGUGCAAAAUGGAAGUUUAAACUUCCUUGAAUCUCUUGUAGGGUUUGGGGGAGAUUGUCAGCGAGCCACUGAUGAAAGUCCUUUUGCGAUGACAAUGCUAGAGAAGAUUUGAAAGAUCUUGGUUGGCGUGGGGCAACUUGUGUAUUCCUGGAUGGGGGCGCCGUCCGGUGGCAGUGGGGUGUGACAGUUGCCGCAGCUGGGCACAACCGGGAGUCCAGCUAUCCAGAACACCCAACUAUUUCAUCCGGUGAACUGCGAAGAGCUUCUGUAAUUAGCACAAAUCUGAAAGCAUAUAUGCAGCUCCCAGAUGUUGCAGGCUAGAGGAAGGGCAGGCACUCAUGCGAUACCAUGUAUCUGGUAGUGGUUUCGUUCCCCAGACGCUAUGCAUUUAUUGUCUGGUUUGUUCAUAUCUGUUAGCUCUAUGUUAACCUUCUUUUAGUUACUUCCCAUGAUUUUCUUUGUAAGAAACCCCAGAAAUAUAUAUAGGUGUAUUUUCCUGUAAAGAUGCUAAAUUUUGUUGGUCUUAUUUAUGGGAUAGCGAAACCA